This is a non-coding RNA of Brassica napus (rape), 103 nucleotides long. The record is from Rfam. Lineage: Eukaryota; Viridiplantae; Streptophyta; Magnoliopsida; Brassicales; Brassicaceae.
GUCUCUUCGGGCACAUCUGAUAAAAUUAGAUCAUUACAGAAAAGAUUAGCAUGGCCCAUCCGCUAGGAUGACAUGCACAAAUCGAGAAAUUGUCUAAAUUGAA